CGAAAUUUUGAUCAAGCUGUUCAAUUCUGGAAGGAGCAAUUAAGGCGGGGAUGCCCUCCAUAUCUUAUAACCUACACAGUUCUCAUUGAGUUAGUCUGCAAGCAUUGUGGAACUGUUAGGGCCAUGGAAGUAUUGGAGGAUAUGGCAAUCGAGGGAUGUUAUCCUGAUCUAGUUACCUACAAUUCGUUGGUCAAUUUUUCUUGUAAACAGGG
RNAcentral lists this unclassified non-coding RNA (212 nucleotides) under Hevea brasiliensis (rubber tree). Lineage: Eukaryota; Viridiplantae; Streptophyta; Magnoliopsida; Malpighiales; Euphorbiaceae. The record is from RNAcentral.